This 509-nucleotide ribosomal RNA is filed under the name uncultured bacterium. RNAcentral describes it as "bacterial SSU rRNA". It matches the Rfam family "Bacterial small subunit ribosomal RNA", at positions 791 to 1300 of the family's 1533-position model. The record is from RNAcentral.
UAGUCCACGCCCUAAACGAUGCUUACUCGGCAUUGGCGAUAUACAGUCAGUGCCUAAGGGAAACCACUAAGUAAGCCACCUGGGGAGUACGUUCGCAAGAAUGAAACUCAAAGGAAUUGACGGGGGUCCGCACAAGCGGUGGAGGAUGUGGUUUAAUUCGAUGAUACGCGAGGAACCUUACCUGGGCUCGAAUUUAGAGAGCUCGAUGCCGAAAGGUGUUUUUAUCUUCGGAUACUGUCUAGAAGGUGCUGCAUGGUUGUCGUCAGCUCGUGCCGUGAGGUGUUGGGUUAAGUCCCGCAACGAGCGCAACCCCUAUCUUUAGUUGCCAGCGAGUAAUGUCGGGGACUCUAAAGACACUGCCUGUGCAAGCAGAGAGGAAGGAGGGGACGACGUCAAAUCAUCAUGGCCCUUACGCUCUGGGCUACACACGUGCUACAAUGGUCGUGACAAAGAGUUGCUAGUCUGCGAAGGCAAGCCAAUCUCAUAAAACGCGGCCUUAGUUCGGAUUG